UUGACCUCGGAUCAGGUGA
This 19-nucleotide ribosomal RNA is filed under the name Peltigera collina. RNAcentral describes it as "partial 26S ribosomal RNA". RNAcentral also lists the same sequence under 13 other names. The record is from RNAcentral. Lineage: Eukaryota; Fungi; Ascomycota; Lecanoromycetes; Peltigerales; Peltigeraceae.